GGGGAAUAUUGCGCAAUGGGGGAAACCCUGACGCAGCAACGCCGCGUGGAGGAAGAAGGUCUUCGGAUUGUAAACUCCUUUGAUGAGGGACGAAAAAAAAUGACGGUACCUCAAAAACAAGCCACGGCUAACUACGUGCCAGCAGCCGCGGUAAUACGUAGGUGGCGAGCGUUGUCCGGAAUUACUGGGUGUAAAGGGCGCGUAGGCGGGAUUGCAAGUUGGAUGUGAAAUUCUGAGGCUUAACCUCAGCGCUGCAUCCAAAACUGUAGUUCUUGAGUGCUGGAGAGGAUAGUGGAAUUCCUAGUGUAGCGGUGAAAUGCGUAGAUAUUAGGAGGAACACCAGUGGCGAAGGCGGCUAUCUGGACAGUAACUGACGCUGAGGCGCGAAAGCGUGGGGAGCAAAC
RNAcentral lists this ribosomal RNA (404 nucleotides) under uncultured bacterium. RNAcentral describes it as "bacterial SSU rRNA". It matches the Rfam family "Bacterial small subunit ribosomal RNA", at positions 356 to 773 of the family's 1533-position model. The record is from RNAcentral.